RNAcentral lists this transfer RNA (65 nucleotides) under Halice sp. JL-2018. RNAcentral's name for it is "tRNA-Glu". Lineage: Eukaryota; Metazoa; Arthropoda; Malacostraca; Amphipoda; Pardaliscidae. The record is from RNAcentral.
AUUUUUAUAGUGUAAAUAUAAACACAUUAUCCUUUCAAGAUAAAGCUAAAAAAUUUUUAAAAAUU